RNAcentral lists this ribosomal RNA (1343 nucleotides) under uncultured bacterium. Its description in RNAcentral is "16S ribosomal RNA". It matches the Rfam family "Bacterial small subunit ribosomal RNA", at positions 28 to 1378 of the family's 1533-position model. The record is from RNAcentral.
GACGAACGCUGGCGGCGUGCUUAACACAUGCAAGUCGAACGGAAAGGCCCUGCUUUUGUGGGGUGCUCGAGUGGCGAACGGGUGAGUAACACGUGAGUAACCUGCCCUUGACUUUGGGAUAACUUCAGGAAACUGGGGCUAAUACCGGAUAGGAGCUCCUGCUGCAUGGUGGGGGUUGGAAAGUUUCGGCGGUUGGGGACGGACUCGCGGCUUAUCAGCUUGUUGGUGGGGUAGUGGCUUACCAAGGCUUUGACGGGUAGCCGGCCUGAGAGGGUGACCGGCCACAUUGGGACUGAGAUACGGCCCAGACUCCUACGGGAGGCAGCAGUGGGGAAUAUUGCACAAUGGGCGGAAGCCUGAUGCAGCAGCGCCGCGUGCGGGAUGACGGCCUUCGGGUUGUAAACCGCUUUCGCCUGUGACGAAGCGUGAGUGACGGUAAUGGGUAAAGAAGCACCGGCUAACUACGUGCCAGCAGCCGCGGUGAUACGUAGGGUGCGAGCGUUGUCCGGAUUUAUUGGGCGUAAAGGGCUCGUAGGUGGUUGAUCGCGUCGGAAGUGUAAUCUUGGGGCUUAACCCUGAGCGUGCUUUCGAUACGGGUUGACUUGAGGAAGGUAGGGGAGAAUGGAAUUCCUGGUGGAGCGGUGGAAUGCGCAGAUAUCAGGAGGAACACCAGUGGCGAAGGCGGUUCUCUGGGCCUUUCCUGACGCUGAGGAGCGAAAGCGUGGGGAGCGAACAGGCUUAGAUACCCUGGUAGUCCACGCUGUAAACGGUGGGUACUAGGUGUGGGGUCCAUUCCACGGGUUCCGUGCCGUAGCUAACGCUUUAAGUACCCCGCCUGGGGAGUACGGCCGCAAGGCUAAAACUCAAAGGAAUUGACGGGGCCCCGCACAAGCGGCGGAGCAUGCGGAUUAAUUCGAUGCAACGCGUAGAACCUUACCUGGGUUUGACAUGGAUCGGGAGUGCUCAGAGAUGGGUGUGCCUCUUUUGGGGUCGGUUCACAGGUGGUGCAUGGCUGUCGUCAGCUCGUGUCGUGAGAUGUUGGGUUAAGUCCCGCAACGAGCGCAACCCUUGUUCACUGUUGCCAGCACGUUAUGGUGGGGACUCAGUGGAGACCGCCGGGGUCAACUCGGAGGAAGGUGGGGAUGGCGUCAAGUCAUCAUGCCCCUUAUGUCCAGGGCUUCACGCAUGCUACAAUGGCUGGUACAGAGAGUGGCGAGCCUGUGAGGGUGAGCGAAUCUCGGAAAGCCGGUCUCAGUUCGGAUUGGGGUCUGCAACUCGACCUCAUGAAGUCGGAGUCGCUAGUAAUCGCAGAUCAGCAACGCUGCGGUGAAUACGUUCCCGGG